UAACACUAACUGGAGGACCGAACCGACUAAUGUUGAAAAAUUAGCGGAUGACCUGUGGCUGGGGGUGAAAGGCCAAUCAAACCGGGAGAUAGCUGGUUCUCCCCGAAAGCUAUUUAGGUAGCGCCUCGUGAAUUCAUCUCCGGGGGUAGAGCACUGUUUCGGCUAGGGGGCCAUCCCGGCUUACCAACCCGAUGCAAACUGCGAAUACCGGAGAAUGUUAUCACGGGAGACACACGGCGGGUGCUAACGUCCGUCGUGAAGAGGGAAACAACCCAGACCGCCAGCUAAGGUCCCAAAGUCAUGGUUAAGUGGGAAACGAUGUGGGAAGGCCCAGACAGCCAGGAUGUUGGCUUAGAAGCAGCCAUCAUUUAAAGAAAGCGUAAUAGCUCACUGGUCGAGUCGGCCUGCGCGGAAGAUGUAACGGGGCUAAACCAUGCACCGAAGCUGCGGCAGCGACACUGUGUGUUGUUGGGUAGGGGAGCGUUCUGUAAGCCUGUGAAGGUGUGUCGUGAGGCAUGCUGGAGGUAUCAGAAGUGCGAAUGCUGACAUAAGUAACGAUAAAGCGGGUGAAAAGCCCGCUCGCCGGAAGACCAAGGGUUCCUGUCCAACGUUAAUCGGGGCAGGGUGAGUCGACCCCUAAGGCGAGGCCGAAAGGCGUAGUCGAUGGGAAACGGGUUAAUAUUCCCGUACUUGGUGUUACUGCGAAGGGGGGACGGAGAAGGCUAUGUUGGCCGGGCGACGGUUGUCCCGGUUUAAGCGUGUAGGUGUGUGUUCCAGGUAAAUCCGGUUCACUUUAACACUGAGGCGUGACGACGAGGCACUACGGUGCUGAAGCAACAAAUGCCCUGCUUCCAGGAAAAGCCUCUAAGCAUCAGGUAACAUCAAAUCGUACCCCAAACCGACACAGGUGGUCAGGUAGAGAAUACCAAGGCGCUUGAGAGAACUCGGGUGAAGGAACUAGGCAAAAUGGUGCCGUAACUUCGGGAGAAGGCACGCUGACACGUAGGUGAAGUGAUUUACUCAUGGAGCUGAAGUCAGUCGAAGAUACCAGCUGGCUGCAACUGUUUAUUAAAAACACAGCACUGUGCAAACACGAAAGUGGACGUAUACGGUGUGACGCCUGCCCGGUGCCGGAAGGUUAAUUGAUGGGGUCAGCGCAAGCGAAGCUCCUGAUCGAAGCCCCGGUAAACGGCGGCCGUAACUAUAACGGUCCUAAGGUAGCGAAAUUCCUUGUCGGGUAAGUUCCGACCUGCACGAAUGGCGUAAUGAUGGCCAGGCUGUCUCCACCCGAGACUCAGUGAAAUUGAACUCGCUGUGAAGAUGCAGUGUACCCGCGGCAAGACGGAAAGACCCCGUGAACCUUUACUAUAGCUUGACACUGAACAUUGAGCCUUGAUGUGUAGGAUAGGUGGGAGGCUUUGAAGUGUGGACGCCAGUCUGCAUGGAGCCGACCUUGAAAUACCACCCUUUAAUGUUUGAUGUUCUAACGUGGACCCGUUACCCGGGUUGCGGACAGUGUCUGGUGGGUAGUUUGACUGGGGCGGUCUCCUCCUAAAGAGUAACGGAGGAGCACGAAGGUUGGCUAAUCCUGGUCGGACAUCAGGAGGUUAGUGCAAUGGCAUAAGCCAGCUUGACUGCGAGCGUGACGGCGCGAGCAGGUGCGAAAGCAGGUCAUAGUGAUCCGGUGGUUCUGAAUGGAAGGGCCAUCGCUCAACGGAUAAAAGGUACUCCGGGGAUAACAGGCUGAUACCGCCCAAGAGUUCAUAUCGACGGCGGUGUUUGGCACCUCGAUGUCGGCUCAUCACAUCCUGGGGCUGAAGUAGGUCCCAAGGGUAUGGCUGUUCGCCAUUUAAAGUGGUACGCGAGCUGGGUUUAGAACGUCGUGAGACAGUUCGGUCCCUAUCUGCCGUGGGCGCUGGAGAACUGAGGGGGGCUGCUCCUAGUACGAGAGGACCGGAGUGGACGCAUCACUGGUGUUCGGGUUGUCAUGCCAAUGGCACUGCCCGGUAGCUAAAUGCGGAAGAGAUAAGUGCUGAAAGCAUCUAAGCACGAAACUUGCCCCGAGAUGAGUUCUCCCUGAGACUUAAAGUCUCCUGAAGGAACGUUGAAGACGACGACGUUGAUAGGCCGGGUGUGUAAGCGCAGCGA
Molecule: ribosomal RNA, 2148 nt
Filed under: Salmonella enterica subsp. enterica serovar Enteritidis
Lineage: Bacteria; Pseudomonadati; Pseudomonadota; Gammaproteobacteria; Enterobacterales; Enterobacteriaceae
Description: partial 23S ribosomal RNA
Rfam family: Bacterial large subunit ribosomal RNA
Source: RNAcentral